UGGCAUCUACCCGUAGGCCCCG
RNAcentral lists this non-coding RNA (22 nucleotides) under Arabidopsis thaliana (thale cress). Lineage: Eukaryota; Viridiplantae; Streptophyta; Magnoliopsida; Brassicales; Brassicaceae. The record is from RNAcentral.